GGGAUUUCACUCAUCCAAAGUGUUGUGAAGGUUAGCUACUUCAUGCUCCAUUCAUUUAUUGUUGUUAAGCUUUGCUUUAUACUAUAGAGAGGAAGAAAAAUGAGUUUAUUUGUUGUUAAGCAUGUAGAGGAUUUGUAUUUAUACAUGUUUUUGAGCUACAAUGUAAUGGAUAGUUUGAAUGUGAGGGUGAAUGGACAGUAAAUGUGAGGUAGAAUUGAGAUUCUUUCAAUUUUAUGCAUUAGGGAAAAAUCAGAGUAAAUGUGUUUUUAAUAUUCAUACUUUAGUACUUUUCAGAUAGAGGUAUGGAAUUAGCCAUUUUUAGAAUAAGUAAAUGAUGUGGGAAAUAUUGAAUUUUUUAAUAGUUUAGUUAUUUGUAAAUUAAAUAUGAGCUAAAUAAUUUAUGGUACAUAGAGAUGGAUUUUGAUGCUGGAUGUAGUGGCGAUGGUGGGGGAGAUCGUCGUUCCUCUCGCGGCAAGGGGAAAAUCAUAGUCGGCCCUCACGAUAAGCUGAAGAAAAUGAGUGCGUGGGAGAAAGUAAUGCUUCGUUAUUUGCAAAGAUGUCAUGAAGAAGCUGUUGCGGCGGGUCAGGAACUUCCUUUUGGUGGUCGUUAUGCUCCACCGCCAAUCCCGGGUAUUUUAGGUCCACUUAUAAGUACUACCAUUGCAGAAGGUACAAAUAAACCACAUGAUGAGGCUGCGUCAGCGAAACCUUCGUCUUCGCUUCCCAAGGAUGCUUGAAGUCCUUCUAGAUAGUACUUAGUGGAUGGUUUGUCGUAGUGUAUCAUGUUGUUGUUACUCUCAAGUUUAAAUUUGUGUAUUUCUAUGUAAACUUUCAGCAAUAUUUGAGUUUGUCGUAAUGUAUCAUGUUGUUUUCUUCUGAAAUUUUAAUUUGUGUAUUUCUAUCUAAAAUUUU
RNAcentral lists this long non-coding RNA (912 nucleotides) under Setaria viridis. Its description in RNAcentral is "long non-coding RNA (SVIR_LNC009450)". Lineage: Eukaryota; Viridiplantae; Streptophyta; Magnoliopsida; Poales; Poaceae. The record is from RNAcentral.